This 234-nucleotide ribosomal RNA is filed under the name uncultured Acaulosporaceae. RNAcentral describes it as "partial 18S ribosomal RNA". It matches the Rfam family "Eukaryotic small subunit ribosomal RNA", at positions 569 to 807 of the family's 1831-position model. The record is from RNAcentral. Lineage: Eukaryota; Fungi; Glomeromycota; Glomeromycetes; Diversisporales; Acaulosporaceae.
AGCAGCCGCGGUAAUUCCAGCUCCAAUAGCGUAUAUUAAAGUUGUUGCAGUUAAAAAGCUCGUAGUUGAAUUUCGGAAUCUGUCCAUCGGUCGGGCUUCACUGUCCGUACUGGUGUGGUGGGUUCUUACUUUCUGAAUAACCAGCAUGCCAUUCACUUGGUGCGUUGGGGAAGCAGGACUAUUACCUUGAAAAAAUUAGAGUGCUCAAAGCAGGCUAGUGCCUGAAUACAUUAG